Molecule: ribosomal RNA, 428 nt
Filed under: uncultured bacterium
Lineage: Bacteria
Description: bacterial SSU rRNA
Rfam family: Bacterial small subunit ribosomal RNA
Source: RNAcentral
UCGAGAAUUUUUCUCAAUGGGCGAAAGCCUGAAGGAGCGACGCCGCGUGGGGGAUGAAUGGCUUCGGCCCGUAAACCCCUGUCAUUUGCGAACAAACCUUACGAUUUAAUAGGUCGUGAGCUGAUUGUAGCGAAAGAGGAAGGGACGGCUAACUCUGUGCCAGCAGCCGCGGUAAUACAGAGGUCCCAAGCGUUGUUCGGAUUCACUGGGCGUAAAGGGUGCGUAGGUGGUCGGGUAAGUCUGAUGUGAAAUCUCCGAGCUUAACUCGGAAAUGGCAUUGGAUACUAUUCGGCUAGAGGGUUUGAGGGGGGACUGGAAUACUUGGUGUAGCAGUGAAAUGCGUAGAUAUCAAGUGGAACACCAGUGGCGAAGGCGAGUCCCUGGAAAACUCCUGACACUGAGGCACGAAAGCUAGGGGAGCAAACAGG